Molecule: ribosomal RNA, 445 nt
Filed under: uncultured bacterium
Lineage: Bacteria
Description: partial 16S ribosomal RNA
Rfam family: Bacterial small subunit ribosomal RNA
Source: RNAcentral
GUGAGGAAUAUUGGUCAAUGGACGGAAGUCUGAACCAGCCAUGCCGCGUGCAGGAAUAAGGUCCUAUGGAUUGUAAACUGCUUUUAUUCGGGAAUAAACCUCUUUACGUGUAGGGAGCUGAAGGUACCGAAGGAAUAAGCACCGGCUAACUCCGUGCCAGCAGCCGCGGUAAUACGGAGGGUGCAAGCGUUAUCCGGAAUCAUUGGGUUUAAAGGGUCCGCAGGUGGGCUAUCAAGUCAGAGGUGAAAUCCCACAGCUUAACUGUGGAACUGCCUUUGAAACUGAUGGUCUUGAAUUAAGUGGGCGUUGGCGGAAUAUGACAUGUAGCGGUGAAAUGCAUAGAUAUGUCAUGGAACACCGAAAGCGAAGGCAGCUAACGAUACUUAUAUUGACGCUCAUGGACGAAAGCGUGGGUAGCGAACAGGAUUAGAAACCCCGGUAGUCC